Molecule: ribosomal RNA, 764 nt
Filed under: Escherichia coli
Lineage: Bacteria; Pseudomonadati; Pseudomonadota; Gammaproteobacteria; Enterobacterales; Enterobacteriaceae
Description: partial 23S ribosomal RNA
Rfam family: Bacterial large subunit ribosomal RNA
Source: RNAcentral
AGUGAAAUUGAACUCGCUGUGAAGAUGCAGUGUACCCGCGGCAAGACGGAAAGACCCCGUGAACCUUUACUAUAGCUUGACACUGAACAUUGAGCCUUGAUGUGUAGGAUAGGUGGGAGGCUUAGAAGUGUGGACGCCAGUCUGCAUGGAGCCGACCUUGAAAUACCACCCUUUAAUGUUUGAUGUUCUAACGUUGACCCGUAAUCCGGGUUGCGGACAGUGUCUGGUGGGUAGUUUGACUGGGGCGGUCUCCUCCUAAAGAGUAACGGAGGAGCACGAAGGUUGGCUAAUCCUGGUCGGACAUCAGGAGGUUAGUGCAAUGGCAUAAGCCAGCUUGACUGCGAGCGUGACGGCGCGAGCAGGUGCGAAAGCAGGUCAUAGUGAUCCGGUGGUUCUGAAUGGAAGGGCCAUCGCUCAACGGAUAAAAGGUACUCCGGGGAUAACAGGCUGAUACCGCCCAAGAGUUCAUAUCGACGGCGGUGUUUGGCACCUCGAUGUCGGCUCAUCACAUCCUGGGGCUGAAGUAGGUCCCAAGGGUAUGGCUGUUCGCCAUUUAAAGUGGUACGCGAGCUGGGUUUAGAACGUCGUGAGACAGUUCGGUCCCUAUCUGCCGUGGGCGCUGGAGAACUGAGGGGGGCUGCUCCUAGUACGAGAGGACCGGAGUGGACGCAUCACUGGUGUUCGGGUUGUCAUGCCAAUGGCACUGCCCGGUAGCUAAAUGCGGAAGAGAUAAGUGCUGAAAGCAUCUAAGCACGAAACUUGCC